RNAcentral lists this ribosomal RNA (441 nucleotides) under uncultured bacterium. RNAcentral describes it as "bacterial SSU rRNA". It matches the Rfam family "Bacterial small subunit ribosomal RNA", at positions 355 to 787 of the family's 1533-position model. The record is from RNAcentral.
UGGGGAAUAUUGGACAAUGGGGGCAACCCUGAUCCAGCCAUGCCGCGUGUGUGAAGAAGGCUUUCGGGUUGUAAAGCACUUUCAGCGAGGAGGAAGGCUCUGAAGUUAAUACCUUCAGGGAUUGACGUUACUCGCAGAAGAAGCACCGGCUAACUCCGUGCCAGCAGCCGCGGUAAUACGGAGGGUGCAAGCGUUAAUCGGAAUUACUGGGCGUAAAGCGCGCGUAGGUGGUUAGGUAAGCGAGAUGUGAAAGCCCCGGGCUUAACCUGGGAACGGCAUUUCGAACUGUCUGACUAGAGUGUGGUAGAGGGUAGUGGAAUUUCCUGUGUAGCGGUGAAAUGCGUAGAUAUAGGAAGGAACACCAGUGGCGAAGGCGGCUACCUGGACCAACACUGACACUGAGGUGCGAAAGCGUGGGGGAGCAAACAGGAUUAGAUACCC